CCUACGGGGGGCAGCAGUGAGGAAUAUUGGUCAAUGGACGAGAGUCUGAACCAGCCAUGCAGCGUGCAGGAUGACGGCUCUAUGGGUUGUAAACUUCUUUUAUACGGGAAUAAAACAGGGUACGUAUACUCUGUUGUAAGUACCAUACGAAUAAGGAUCGGCUAACUCCGUGCCAGCAGCCGCGGUAAUACGGAGGAUCCGAGCGUUAUCCGGAUUUAUUGGGUUUAAAGGGUGCGUAGGUGGAUUGAUAAGUUAGUGGUGAAAGUUCGCGGCUCAACCGUGGAAUUGCAGUUGAUACUGGCAGUCUAGAGAACAGAUGCGGUAGGCGGAAUGCGUGGUGUAGCGGUGAAAUGCUUAGAUAUCACACAGAACUCCGAUUGCGAAGGCAGCUCACUAGUCUGCAUCUGACACUGAUGCACGAAAGUGUGGGUAUCAAACAGGAUUAGAUACCCGUGUAGUC
RNAcentral lists this ribosomal RNA (460 nucleotides) under uncultured bacterium. RNAcentral's name for it is "partial 16S ribosomal RNA". It matches the Rfam family "Bacterial small subunit ribosomal RNA", at positions 338 to 795 of the family's 1533-position model. The record is from RNAcentral.